UCACUUUCCAACAACGGAUCUCUUGGCUCUCGCAUCGAUGAAGAACGUAGCGAAGUGCGAUAAGUAAUGCGAAUUGCAGAAUUCCGUGAGUCAUCGAAACUUUGAACGCAAAUUGCGCUCUCUGGUAUUCCGGGGAGUAUGCCUGUUUGAGGGUCAGU
Molecule: ribosomal RNA, 158 nt
Filed under: uncultured Glomus
Lineage: Eukaryota; Fungi; Glomeromycota; Glomeromycetes; Glomerales; Glomeraceae
Description: 5.8S ribosomal RNA
Rfam family: 5.8S ribosomal RNA
About the family: 5.8S ribosomal RNA (5.8S rRNA) is a component of the large subunit of the eukaryotic ribosome.
Source: RNAcentral